This 438-nucleotide ribosomal RNA is filed under the name Hypochlora alba. RNAcentral describes it as "partial 16S ribosomal RNA subunit RNA". It matches the Rfam family "Archaeal large subunit ribosomal RNA", at positions 1942 to 2614 of the family's 2987-position model. The record is from RNAcentral. Lineage: Eukaryota; Metazoa; Arthropoda; Insecta; Orthoptera; Acrididae.
AGGUCUAGCCUGCUCACUGAUGAGUUUUUAAAGAGCCGCGGUAUUUUGACCGUGCAAAGGUAGCAUAAUCAUUAGUCUCUUAAUUAGGGGCUGGAAUGAAUGGCUUGACGAGAAAUUAACUGUCUCUUAUUAAAUUAUAGAAUUUAACUUUUGAGUUAAAAGGCUUAAAUUUUUCUUAAAGACGAGAAGACCCUAUAGAGCUUAAUAUUUUUAUUUUUAUAUAAUUUUUAGAAAAUCUUUUUAUAUAAAUAGAAGAUAUUUUGUUGGGGUGACAUGAAGAAUAAAUAAACUCUUUAUUAUAAAAUCAUUAAUUUAUGUUUAUUUUGAUCCAUAAUUUAUGAUCAUAAGAUUUAGUUACCUUAGGGAUAACAGCGUAAUUGUUUUUGAGAGCUCAUAUUGACAAAGCAGAUUGCGACCUCGAUGUUGGAUUAAGAAUAA